AUCAGCAGUAGAGAGCAUCACACGCACACCCCACUUCUGUAUGGCUUGCAAACUUUUGGAAGAAUCCUGGAAAGAAAGUGAAGGCCGGAUCCGCCACAAAGUUCUGUUGCACAGGGAAAGACACAGGAGGAAGGCGAAGAUGCGGGAGCCGGGAGGGUCCACUUCUCAGGAAAUUUGCACCCUCAAGAAGCUGAGAUUUUCACGGGCUGCUAAGAACUUUUUGGUUCAUUGGAUAUUUAUGCAUAGGAUUUCUUCUCAAAUGUCGCUGAUAUAAAGAAGCCCAAGCUGUGAUAAACUGAUGGCUGAAGAGGACUUGAAGUUCCUGCCAAGGCAAAGAGCACAGACUCCCAGCCCACAUUUCACUUUGGAAGUCUUUUGUGGUUUGACUGCACCUGGUAUUCUAGGCAGCCAGUCUUCCCAACAAUCAGACAAUCCAUGCUGUGGUAUGACCAUACUCAUUAAACCCCUCGUGCUAAUGACAUCAAAACUUGGUUCCUGCUAUCACUGUAUCCAUCUAUUUUCAGUUGGAAGGAUAUGUGAAACUGGACAGUUGGACAGUAUCAUCUUCUGCAUUUUAAAAGAAGUAAGGACAAGGAAAAGGGUUUCCAUGCAGCCAAAUGCACACUGGAAUGUGCACUGAAGUACAAUUUCCACCGAAAGCCCUUCCUUGAGUUCUUAAAGUGCAGAACAAUUUCAAAUGUGAAUGAUUUUUCCAGAUUAAAUUACAGGUAACAUCAGGAUAUCUUUUUUUUUGGGGGGGGGGGAACAUGCAAUCUUAUGAGAAUAAUGGAAAGACUCCCUUAUGGUAAUACUUGGUGAUACUUUUACUGCGUUUCUUUAUAUGCUUGUAUAUGAUUAGUUACAUGAAUAUGUGACAGAAACUGAAAGCUAUAGUCUGAAGAAAUUGAGUGUUUAAAGCAAACUUUAAGAAUUCUGGAAAUCUGAGGUAGAAGAAUGCGAAAGCAAAUGCUUUGAAAGUACUCCAUGACAGGGCAAAGUAAACGGAAGUGUUAAAUCUGGAGAGGGGCUGGAAAGAGGUGGGGAACCGAGGAGAAAGGAAAUGUACAGCACAACUGUGUGCAUGUUUACUUGGAAAUAAGUCCCCAUCUUCAACAGGACUUACUCCCAGAAAAGCGUGAUAGGAGUGAGCUAGACCCAUUUUUUGAGCUGCAAUCCUAAACUAGGUCUGCAUACAUUACGAUUUACCAAGCCAAAUACAGCCUGCUAGUUGUGCAUUGUGCCUGACAACUGUUUCUGCAAUCCCAGGCAACUCUUGUUUGCGAGCCAUGCUUAACUUGGUGGGUCACAACUUUGCAAGCUUGAUAUAGUGCUGAAAAUCUAGAAGAAUAAGAAUAUGAAAGUUUUUUAAAAAGAUUUUAAAAAAACAAAAAGCAAAGUACGUAUCUGUGCUGCAUUAACUGUAAGGGGAAGUAGCUCACACAUUAUGUUUUUAUUUAUUCAACCUGGUAAGAAUAAAUUCAAAAGGCUGAGUUUUAACCCCUAAUCAAAAUGCAUUUUUGCAGUUAUUCUCCACCCCCAUGAAGUUAUCUCCUGCUGAAUACAGUUUUGCCUCCCUUUUGAUCUCUCCCUCCUGUUUGUUUCAUCAUCACUAGGACUUAUAAUUGACCUGUGCACAAUUUAACACUCUUGCCUGUAUCUCUGCUGCCACAUUUGAUUUUUUAAUGUUGCUUUUGACCUAUUAUUAAGUUUGCCUCUUACUUCUAUCUCAGUCAUCACUGCAAAAGGCCACAUGUUAAUAAUAAAAGGUGGGGGACAAGGCAAAACAAAAAAAUUACGACAUGUAAUGCACAAAUAAAGUCAUUUGGCUCUUUAGGAGAGAAUGUGCUGUAUGUAGGCUUGGCAUAUGUCAGGAAAAUUCCUGACAUAUCUUUGUUAUCGGGUGUAAAAAUGGCAUCGGGGAAUUUUGCUGAAUUGGCAAAAUGUCAGGGAAAACCCGGAUGUAUGGCAACGCGAUGGAAAAGCAGUGGAAAUAGCUCAAAAAGCUUAAAAUCAAAAAGCUUAGGUUUCCCCCCAAAAAAGCUUAACAAUUUUGGUGGGUAUCAGGAAUUUUACUUUUUGAAAUAAGGCAACUCUAGGUGUAUGUUUUGGUAACACCCCCACUGUUUUGCUAGCAAGUUCAGUCUCUGUAUUGGGGAAAGAAGACUGGUUUUUUAAAAAAUUCAUCCCCCCCGCCCAAUCUUGGUCAUUCUAGUGAGGUUGCCAAAAUUUAGAGUAGCUGUAAUUACAUUUUCUAUUGAUGUUUAACUUACUUUUACUCUUGGAAACUGACAUCCUUAGUUGAUUUUUAUUCAGACAAAGUUUUCCCUGAAGGAAUAUGGAGAACAUACACAUAAAAGAGUUUGGCCUUUGAACACUUUUUCGUUUUCCACAUUAAAAGUUAAAAAUAUAAAACGUCCAUGAUCACUGAAAGCAGUAGAGGCGGCAGUAUACAUUGGCCACUGUUGACUGAAGAAAGCCAACCCA
This 2484-nucleotide long non-coding RNA is filed under the name Podarcis muralis (Common wall lizard). Its description in RNAcentral is "lncRNA (ENSPMRG00000015823.1)". Lineage: Eukaryota; Metazoa; Chordata; Lepidosauria; Squamata; Lacertidae. The record is from RNAcentral.